CGUUUUCUGCGGUGUUCGAGUAGUGGACUGGGUAACCCCUUGAUCCUAAUUGAUUAUACCCAGGGGCGCGGCUGCUGGUGCAGGUGUGCAUGUCUGCCGCGUUGUGGAAAGCCUGAUGCAUCGCGCUGCUCCCCACUUGAACCGCCGUGGUUCAAGGGCAAGGUCCGAGACGGCACAGGCGGAAAACGC
Molecule: non-coding RNA, 189 nt
Filed under: Gammaproteobacteria bacterium
Lineage: Bacteria; Pseudomonadati; Pseudomonadota; Gammaproteobacteria
Description: 6S RNA
Rfam family: 6S / SsrS RNA
About the family: E. coli 6S RNA was the first non coding RNA to be sequenced, but its function was unknown until recently. It consists of 184 nucleotides that fold into an extended hairpin structure with a large single-stranded internal bulge.
Source: RNAcentral